Molecule: ribosomal RNA, 426 nt
Filed under: uncultured bacterium
Lineage: Bacteria
Description: partial 16S ribosomal RNA
Rfam family: Bacterial small subunit ribosomal RNA
Source: RNAcentral
GUGGGGAAUAUUGCGCAAUGGGGGAAACCCUGACGCAGCAACGCCGCGUGAAGGAUGAAGGUUUUCGGAUUGUAAACUUCUUUGACGAGGGACGAAUAAUGACGGUACCUCGAAAACAAGCCACUGCUAACUACAUGCCAGCAGCCGCGGUACUACGUAGGUGGCGAGCGUUGUCCGGAAUUACUGGGUGUAAAGGGCGAGUAGGCGGGUUCAUAAUUCAGUAGGGAAAUACUGCAGCUUAACUGCGGGGCUGCUAUUGAAACUAUGGUUCUUGAGUGAUAGGGAGGCAGGCGGAAUUCCCGGUGUAGCGGUGAAAUGCGUAGAGAUCGGGAGGAACACCAGUGGCGAAGGCGGCCUGCUGGAUAUUAACUGACGCUGAGGCGCGAAAGCGUGGGGAGCAAACAGGAUUAGAUACCCGAGUAGUCC